RNAcentral lists this ribosomal RNA (459 nucleotides) under uncultured bacterium. Its description in RNAcentral is "partial 16S ribosomal RNA". It matches the Rfam family "Bacterial small subunit ribosomal RNA", at positions 338 to 795 of the family's 1533-position model. The record is from RNAcentral.
CCUACGGGAGGCAGCAGUGAGGAAUAUUGGUCAAUGGGCGGGAGCCUGAACCAGCCAAGCCGCGUGAGGGAAGAAGGUACAGCGUAUCGUAAACCUCUUUUGUCAGGGAACAAAGGCGGGUACUCGUCCGCGGCUGAGGGUACCCGAAGAAAAAGCCUCGGCUAACUCCGUGCCAGCAGCCGCGGUAAUACGGAGGAUGCGAGCGUUAUCCGGAUUUCUUGGGUUUAAAGGGUGCGCAGGCGGCCCUUUAAGUCAGCGGUAAAAGCGCGGGGCUCAACCCCGACGAGCCGUUGAAACUGGGGGGCUGGAGUUGGAGAGAGGUAGGCGGAAUGCGCGGUGUAGCGGUGAAAUGCUUAGAGAUCGCGCAGAACCCCGAUUGCGAAGGCAGCGUACCGGCUCCACACUGACGCUGAGGCACGAAAGCGUGGGUAUCGAACAGGAUUAGAUACCCGUGUAGUC